Lepisosteus oculatus (spotted gar) is the source of this 2538-nucleotide long non-coding RNA. NCBI's taxonomy places the organism in Eukaryota, Metazoa, Chordata, Actinopteri, Semionotiformes, Lepisosteidae. The record is from Ensembl.
ACUCCUUGCACAUGUGGAAUGCGCUGUGGUGAUUGAGGGUGCUCAUACAGGAGCACUGGGGCUCGUCAGGGCAUCUUGUCCGACAGGUGUAUGAACAUUUAGAUUUACAUUAGUACAGGUACUCUAAAUACAAUAGAAAUAUGUAUGCUUGUCAUUAAGAUCACCUUGUACAACAGACAUAAUAGUACAGAAAUGCAUGUCAAAACUAUUUAAUUAGGUCAACUUGAGAAGAAUAAAAAACAUUGUUAAACGGUUCUCUAAGCAAUCCUGUUUCUUUGUCACUCUGUCAACAGCAUCAACUGGUCAAUGUACCAGCAAGAUUUUAAAAAGAAAAUGUACAAAUUCAUGGAUAUAAGAACAUUAAUGGGGCUAGAAAACUACAUUGGAAGGACAAGAAACUACCCCAAGUACAGUGUGCUCCAACUGUGCAAGAACUGCAACAACGGAGAAGAAUUUCAGCUGGGCUUGGAGGGAGAACAUUCUGCCCAUUCGGCACUGAGCUCAGACGUGGGGAACGGGGACCAGCAGGGCUCCCCCACUGCUGCUGGAGACGCAUCUCCAGCCCCGAGGGGUACCCCAGCGGACAGGGAGGUGCCUUUGGUGCCGACGGCCCUCCUGAGGCCCCAGGAGCAAGCAGAACCUGAGACCUGGGCCUCUCUUCACCUCAAGCCUUCUCCGGCCCUGAGACGGUCACUCUCCGGCGCUGCGACCCAGGCCACGCCAGCAGACUCCCUCCUGCGCACGGCGGCGUUGGGGUCCCGGGUACGGAACGUGUCGGUGGCGGGGGAGAAGGGGCGCCCCCGGGAGACUGGAUUGCCGGGGAAAGUCCCUCACCUCGGGCCGGCAGAGCUGGGCAUCCUGCUGGGCUGUGCGGCCGCACUGGGCAUGGCUGUCACCACGGGCCUCCGGUACCUGCACAGCCAGUACUGCCGCAAGCGCACCGAGGUGUCCAUCAGCGACCGCGACAGCAAUGUUAUCCACGUCCAGGAGUGCGGGGACCUGGUGCAGGUACGCAAGAUCCGGCAGAACAGCUUUGUCCUGCUGGAGGCCGAGUACGACGUCAUCACUCCCGUGGGGAAGUGACGGAGCUCAGCACUCACCUGGGCUUGACCACAAGAUGCGCGACAGAAACCAAAUAGUACACACCUUUCACGUGUCACAACCGUACCUGCAGAACAGCACAGCAGAGGCCGUGGUGGCUGAUAAGGCUGGGCGAGCAGGAGCCUGAAGGAACUUUGACUUUACUCCUCCCUGCAAACUCCUUUCAGACGACACCAUAUCGAUUAGAAUUGUUUGGUCACUGUUUGAAACCAAAACUCCAAGCUGACAUUUUCACACAUUAAUUUUGUGUUAUGUUUAUUGUUUUCUCUACUGGUUCCAAAAACAACAAUAAUAUACUAUACUUACUCACUGCUAGUAUCUCUUGUUUGAUAUUAUGUACUGUACUGUACUGACAUUCGGAGAAAUUCAGAGAGGCAGAAGAUGUUUAUGUUUGGGAACAAACCAUUGAAAUUGAAGGUGACUGUUAAAAGCUAGGAAUCCCAUCUUACAGUUAACAAACCUCCAACAGGUCUCAUGUGCUGAACAGUAAGUCACAAUGCCUAAAAGUGCAAAAUCAAAUACAAUUGCAUUUCUAUAGUACUUUUCAUCCCCAAGGAUCCCAGAGUGCAUCACAUACUGGGGAGCCACUGAACCUGGAGAGAUGUGCCAGCUCUGAUGUGCUGUGAUCUCCCUGCCAGAACUGGCCAAGCGAGAAAUUGUUUCGCCAAGUGAGUUUAGGGGGACCUUGGCAGAGCCCAGACUGUGCCCAACCACAGAAUCCUCUUAUACUGCUCCUGCCCCCAGUUUACCAGUCACCACUCGUGAAAUGUUUUGCAUUUAACAGUGCUGUGGUUUUGGGGUGUUUUCUGAUCUUUCAUGCUGGUAAAAGAGCUGGUAAAAAAAAACUAGUUACAAGAUUUGCUUUGGAAUAGUUCUUUCCACUGACAACUACUUUUCUUUCUUUUUUCCUGAAACGUAAUAUAGGAUACAUAAUGCGGUUGUUAAGUGAAUUAUGUGGGAAUCGGAAAACACUAACACUUAAGACCAAAGAAAUAUAGUCACCUGCAAACCUUACUGAGGCAUGCAGAUAGAAAAUGGAUGGACGUUUAGACCCAGUGAUGCUUGUACUAAUUUAGUAGUGUUAAUUGUCAAUUAAAAAAAUAUAAAUGGCAGCUUAAUGUGUCAUAUACACUGGAUGAAGGUGACAGUGUGCAUGCUUUAGUAAAAGAUUUAUGAAAAAGAGAUGCUAUACAUUAGUUUUGUAGAUUAGACCCUAAUCUUAUAAAAUGUAACUGAUUUGUACAUUUUAGAUAUUAUGAAAUAUAUUUACUUUAGGACGUAAACGUUUUAUAUGAGUUGUACUAAUACAGUGAUUAUGUUAGAAGAAAAAAAGUUAAUUCCCCAUUUAAAAUAAUGAGACAGCAAAUAAUUAUAUUGUAGUUACAGCAAUAUUUUACUCAUUUCUGUACCUUUUCCUUGGGAAUAAAAUUUACACAC